AGUAAAAGACACCCUGGAUUUCUAUAUCCAAUGUUUUUGUCUUAUAUAAAAUCUUUUUAUAAUUAGUAUUUUUAUUAUUGUUAGAUAAUAAAACAUGAUUAAUACUUUAUGUGUGACUUGUCUUUUUAAUUUUUUAUAAUUUUUUUAAAUAAGAUGAACGAUCAAACGUUGGACACGAAAACUAGUGAUUUGUCUUUUU
This 199-nucleotide microRNA precursor is filed under the name Oryza sativa Indica Group (long-grained rice). RNAcentral's name for it is "MIR812 microRNA precursor family". It matches the Rfam family "MIR812 microRNA precursor family". The record is from Rfam by way of RNAcentral. Lineage: Eukaryota; Viridiplantae; Streptophyta; Magnoliopsida; Poales; Poaceae.